UGCGUAGGAUGCAAGCGUUGUCCGGAAUUACUGGGCGUAAAGCGCACGUAGGCGGCUUUGUAAGUUAGAGGUGAAAGCCCAGGGCUUAACCCUGGAAUUGCCUUUAAGACUGCAUCGCUAGAAUCGUGGAGAGGUGAGUGGAAUUCCGAGUGUAGAGGUGAAAUUCGUAGAUAUUCGGAAGAACACCAGUGGCGAAGGCGACUCACUGGACACGUAUUGACGCUGAGGUGCGAAAGCGUGGGGAGCAAACAGG
RNAcentral lists this ribosomal RNA (253 nucleotides) under uncultured bacterium. Its description in RNAcentral is "partial 16S ribosomal RNA". It matches the Rfam family "Bacterial small subunit ribosomal RNA", at positions 524 to 776 of the family's 1533-position model. The record is from RNAcentral.